CUCAAACAUAUGAUUGUUUUCCCAUAAACGACAAUAUCUAUAAAGCUGUCUUAUUGAAUAUUUUCUUAAAUUGUUACUAUUAUAUUUGGUUUUGAUCACUCGUUUUGGCACAAGACUUUUGAGUAUGUAUACAUCAUUUGAUUUGUGUAUAUACAUAAAGAACUUAGUUUUUGAGAGCUCUCUCUCUUCUCUCUCUCUUCUCUCUCCCUUCUCCAGUUUACGCCAUCUGAGAUCUGCUCCUCUCACGGUGGUCGGUUGCUUUCCGGCGCCGGUCACCGUGAGGCAUCUGUUCCGCAUGUUCCUGUAGCGCCUCCACCCUCUAGGUUCCGCAUUUUCCUGUAGCGCCUCCCCCCGCUGGCCCCCUCCUAGUCUCCUCUCUUUGCUUGGCGAUUCUGGUCCGUUGGAAUUCUCUUCACCGGUUCUAACUGAAGUCAUUGGUGUCUCUGGCUUCUCUGGAACUCCGGCGAGGGAUGAUAAAGUGGGGGUAUCUUAGGGGCCUUGAAUCUUCCUCUAGUGAGCCGAUUGCGCUCAGAUCUGGGUCAGAUCUGAGAUCCUUGACCCGGCAGACUGCAGACUGUGAGAUGCGUCGCUGCUGUCUCCGUUCUAGCCUUUGUGUCUUGCUCCAGUCGGUACUCUCUGUCGUUUGCUUCAAGGUUAUCCUAGAGCUCCUCCUCUCAGAUCUGAGAGAAACGUGGCGGUGAGGCUCGCCACUGAGGACCUCUUGUUCCUUUAGUUCUUGAGACGACAACCAUGGCGAAGCUAUGGUGUAUGCUUGGUUCUCUCUUCUCGCUCAUGACGUCGACUCUAGGGUUUUGAGGACGACCCGUUGUGGUGGCGUUCUUGCUUGAAGUGGUGAUCUCGCUCAUCGGUGUUGUAGCCUGUUUUGAGGAGUCUUCGUACUCCUUCCGUGUUCUAACUUCUCUAGUCUUCGCUCCAGUGGAAGCUUUGGUGCUCACUCGUCGCUCCGCCGAACCCUCUGAGUCAUUCUCCAGAUCGCGUGGCCGGAUGGGGAGCCGCUGUUUUUACCGUCCACGCUUGAUCGGAGUUUCCUCACGUUCUUCAUUUUCAUCGGUGGCCCUUCAAGUCAACAUCUUUUGUUUUCUAACUGCGUUAGCUUCAGGUCUUUUGGUAGACGGUCCUCCUCCAGCAGUGCUCCGGGGCGUGAGCCAGGCGCCUCCGUCGAAGCUGCUUAGAGCCACCUUCGGGUGAGUGCUCGUCCGAUCGACUCGUCAUAGCUAUUCUCUUGUUUGUUUUCUGGUCAUUCCUGAUAGAACAAGAAGCGUGAAGCUAGGGAGAUCUAAAUUUGUUGUCUCUUGUUCUAGUCAUUAUUAGCUUCAAGUUCUUCUUAUGAAUUGCUUGGACUAAUUCAUGGGUUUCUUGGAGGUUUUUUACUUUUUUUUGCAGCCUCUUAGAACAGAAUAGCUGUUUAGCAGAUUGGGUUUCAAUUAAUUUUGUAACCAAAC
This 1463-nucleotide long non-coding RNA is filed under the name Brassica napus (rape). RNAcentral's name for it is "long non-coding RNA (BNAP_LNC000839)". Lineage: Eukaryota; Viridiplantae; Streptophyta; Magnoliopsida; Brassicales; Brassicaceae. The record is from RNAcentral.